Bubalus bubalis (water buffalo) is the source of this 550-nucleotide long non-coding RNA. RefSeq lists it as uncharacterized. The transcript is spliced from 2 exons. The record is from RefSeq and is a predicted model, not a curated record. NCBI's taxonomy places the organism in Eukaryota, Metazoa, Chordata, Mammalia, Artiodactyla, Bovidae.
CCUCCAGGGCAUCUUCCUGACACAGGGAUCGAACCUGUCUCCUGUAUUGGCAGUUUCAGUGGAAAGUUAAAAUGAUCUCAGCAAAGACAACUCUCCUGACAUCCUGAGCCCUUGCAUGACAGUGUGUCUACCCUACCCUGCAUUAGUGUCCGGAGAAGUGCUGACAUCAUUUACAAAAGGAACAUCUGUGGAAAUCAACUUUUGGCCUGAUAUGAACAUUUUUAGAACUGCUUCUUAGGUUCUGUUAUUCCUGGUUUUUAUGUAUGCAUGAAACUAAUCAGAAGAAUUAUAUUAAUUUAUUCAUGAUUGGUAAGCAGUAGAGAUCAAACUGAAUCUCACAAUUGUAAAGUUAAAAAGAACACUAUGCACUAAUGUAAGAAAAAAAUGUGCAUAGGAAAAUAACUUAAUAAUUUUAAAGCAAAAUAUAAAAUUUAGGAAUAAAAUUUAUCAAUAGAAUGACUUUCUCAUAAUUUCCAUUUUCCUCUCACAUUAUCUAAUCAUAUUAGGAUAACUUUCUUUGUAACAAAGCAAUUUGUAAUAGAAACUAAUC